AGAGUUUGAUCCUGGCUCAGAACGAACGCUGGCGGCGUACUUAACACAUGCAAGUCGAACGCGAAAAUUUCCUUCGGGAAAUGAGUAGAGUGGCGCACGGGUGAGUAACGCGUAGAUAAUCUACCCCCAUAUUUGGGAUAACAUCGGGAAACUGGUGCUAAUACCGGAUACACUUAUUACCACGCGAGUGGAAAUGAGGAAAGGAGACCUCUUCUUGAAAGUUUCUGUAUAGGGAUGAGUCUGCGUACCAUUAGCUAGUAGGUGGGGUAAGAGCCUACCUAGGCGACGAUGGUUAGCGGGUCUGAGAGGAUGAUCCGCCACACUGGAACUGGAACACGGACCANACUCCUACGGGAGGCAGCAGUGAGGAAUAUUGCGCAAUGGGGGAAACCCUGACGCAGUGACGCCGCGUGAGUGAAGAAGGUCUUCG
This 430-nucleotide ribosomal RNA is filed under the name uncultured delta proteobacterium. RNAcentral's name for it is "bacterial SSU rRNA". It matches the Rfam family "Bacterial small subunit ribosomal RNA", at positions 8 to 420 of the family's 1533-position model. The record is from RNAcentral. Lineage: Bacteria; Deltaproteobacteria.